This 460-nucleotide ribosomal RNA is filed under the name uncultured bacterium. RNAcentral's name for it is "partial 16S ribosomal RNA". It matches the Rfam family "Bacterial small subunit ribosomal RNA", at positions 338 to 795 of the family's 1533-position model. The record is from RNAcentral.
CCUACGGGAGGCAGCAGUGAGGAAUAUUGGUCAAUGGGCGUAAGCCUGAACCAGCCAAGUCGCGUGAGGGAUGAAGGUUCUAUGGAUCGUAAACCUCUUUUAUAAGGGAAUAAAGUGUGGGACGUGUCCUGCUUUGUAUGUACCUUAUGAAUAAGGAUCGGCUAACUCCGUGCCAGCAGCCGCGGUAAUACGGAGGAUCCGAGCGUUAUCCGGAAUUAUUGGGGUUAAAGGGUGCGUAGGCGGCCUUUUAAGUCGGCGGUGAAAGUCUGUGGCUCAACCAGAGAAUUGCCGUUGAAACUGGGAGGCUAGAGUAUGUUUGAGGCAGGCGGAAUUCGUGGUGUAGCAGUGAAAUGCUUAGAUAUCGCGAAGAACCCCGAUGGCGAAGGCAGCCUGCCAGGCCAUGACUGACGCUGAUGCACGAAAGCGUGGGGAUCAAACGGGAUUAGAUACCCUGGUAGUC